This 125-nucleotide small RNA is filed under the name Marmota monax (woodchuck). Lineage: Eukaryota; Metazoa; Chordata; Mammalia; Rodentia; Sciuridae. The record is from RNAcentral.
GCCUGGUGUGGUGGCACAUGCCUGUAAUCCUAGCAGCUUGGGAGGCUGAGGCAGGAGGAUCUAGAGUUCAAAGCCAGCCUCAGCAAAAGUGAGGCACCAAGCAACUCAGUGGGACCCUGUCUCUA